This 83-nucleotide transfer RNA is filed under the name archaeon BMS3Abin17. Its description in RNAcentral is "tRNA-Ser". It matches the Rfam family "tRNA". Rfam says of the family: Transfer RNA (tRNA) molecules are approximately 80 nucleotides in length. Their secondary structure includes four short double-helical elements and three loops (D, anti-codon, and T loops). The record is from RNAcentral.
UGCCUCCAUCGCAUAAUGGUAUUGCACCGGACUUGAGAUCCGGGGUCUUCGGGCCAUCCCCGUUCGAUUCGGGGUGGGGGCGU